This 28-nucleotide small RNA is filed under the name Bombyx mori (domestic silkworm). RNAcentral's name for it is "piRNA piR-bmo-1318322". Lineage: Eukaryota; Metazoa; Arthropoda; Insecta; Lepidoptera; Bombycidae. The record is from RNAcentral.
UAUAGUCCUUGAGAGCUUGAUUGCUAAA